CCAGGCCUUGACAUCCUUGGAAUUCUGCAGAGAUGCGGAAGUGCCUUCGGGAAUCAAGUGACAGGUGCUGCAUGGCUGUCGUCAGCUCGUGUCGUGAGAUGUUGGGUUAAGUCCCGUAACGAGCGCAACCCUUGUCCUUUGUUGCCAGCACGUAAAGGUGGGAACUCAAAGGAGACUGCCGGUGACAAACCGGAGGAAGGUGGGGACGACGUCAAGUUAUCAUGGCCCUUACGGCCUGGGCUACACACGUGCUACAAUGGUCGGUACAGAGGGUUGCCAAGCCGCGAGGUGGAGCUAAUCCCAGAAAACCGGUCGUAGUCCGGAUCGCAGUCUGCAACUCGACUGCGUGAAGUCGGAAUCGCUAGUAAUCGCGAAUCAGAAUGUCGCGGUGAAUACGUUCCCGGGCCUUGUACACACCGCCCGUCACACCAUGGGAGUGGGUUGCAAAAGAAGUGGCUAGUCUAACCUUCGGGAGGGCGGUCACCACUUUGUGAUUCAUGACUGGGGUGAAGUCGUAACAAGGUAAGCGUAGUGCU
Molecule: ribosomal RNA, 536 nt
Filed under: uncultured bacterium
Lineage: Bacteria
Description: bacterial SSU rRNA
Rfam family: Bacterial small subunit ribosomal RNA
Source: RNAcentral